RNAcentral lists this ribosomal RNA (424 nucleotides) under uncultured Megamonas sp. RNAcentral describes it as "bacterial SSU rRNA". It matches the Rfam family "Bacterial small subunit ribosomal RNA", at positions 338 to 759 of the family's 1533-position model. Lineage: Bacteria; Bacillati; Bacillota; Negativicutes; Selenomonadales; Selenomonadaceae. The record is from RNAcentral.
CCUACGGGGGGCAGCAGUGAGGAAUAUUGGUCAAUGGGCGAGAGCCUGAACCAGCCAAGUAGCGUGAAGGAUGACUGCCCUAUGGGUUGUAAACUUCUUUUAUAAAGGAAUAAAGUCGGGUAUGGAUACCCGUUUGCAUGUACUUUAUGAAUAAGGAUCGGCUAACUCCGUGCCAGCAGCCGCGGUAAUACGGAGGAUCCGAGCGUUAUCCGGAUUUAUUGGGUUUAAAGGGAGCGUAGGCGGGUUGUUAAGUCAGUUGUGAAAGUUUGCGGCUCAACCGUAAAAUUGCAGUUGAUACUGGCGACCUUGAGUGCAACAGAGGUAGGCGGAAUUCGUGGUGUAGCGGUGAAAUGCUUAGAUAUCACGAAGAACUCCGAUUGCGAAGGCAGCCUGCUGUAGCGCAACUGACGCUGAAGCUCGAAAG